GCACCUGGUGCAUGUGUGUGUGUGUGUGUGUUUAUAUAUACAUACACACACACACACACACACACCCUCAAUAUGAUU
Podarcis lilfordi (Lilford's wall lizard) is the source of this 78-nucleotide non-coding RNA. NCBI's taxonomy places the organism in Eukaryota, Metazoa, Chordata, Lepidosauria, Squamata, Lacertidae. The record is from the annotation of a GenBank genome assembly.